AUUGAACGCUGGCGGCAGGCCUAACACAUGCAAGUCGAGCGCGAAAGUUCUUCGGAAUGAGUAAAGCGGCGGACGGGUGGGUAAUACAUGGGAAUCUGCCUGGUAGUGGGGGACAACGUUUCGAAAGGAGCGCUAAUACCGCAUACGCCCUACGGGGGAAAGGGGGGGAUCGCAAGACCUCUCGCUAUCAGAUGAGCCCA
This 200-nucleotide ribosomal RNA is filed under the name uncultured bacterium. RNAcentral's name for it is "partial 16S ribosomal RNA". It matches the Rfam family "Bacterial small subunit ribosomal RNA", at positions 30 to 233 of the family's 1533-position model. The record is from RNAcentral.